ACUAGUAAAUCAGGGAAUAUUUUUAUGCAGCUUUUCCAUAGUGUCGUAUGCCUUGCAGUUGUGUUAGUAACACAGUAAACUAAGGAAAAUAAUCAUUUAAACUUAGAAUAUCAAAAUGAUUUGGGAAAAAUCAUGAUUAGUCCAUGGCCUGUAAAAUUCUUAUGAAAACAUGAAAGUGUCUCCUUCUGUUCCUUUAGUUGUAAGGGGGAAUAAGAAAAAAAUAAAAAGUUAAUAUUUAGUAUGCUGUUAUCUAAAACAACAUUUAGGAAAUACCCUAUUUAUAAAGAUUCUGUGGCUGGGGAGAUGGUUUAGUUUAAGUAAACUGUUAAAGAGGACUUGCUCCACUUAAAGAGGACCAGGGUUUGGUUCCCAGCAUCCACGUGGUUAUUAACUCCAGUUCCUAAGGGCAGAGCACCGAGUCUGUGACAUGUUCGUCAUUUCUGUUUUAAUUAUAGUUGUCCCCUGGUACCAAUGGGGGAUAGCUUCUGAAAUUCAGCAAGUACCAGCAUCUACAGCUAUUUAAGUCCUCUAGAGAGUGCUGCAUUGUUUGAAUUAAACAUUCAUUCCUUCUCAUAUAUUUUAAAUCAAUACUAGAUCAUUUGUAACACCUAAUAAAAUAGAAGUGCUAUAAAAA
This 634-nucleotide long non-coding RNA is filed under the name Rattus norvegicus (Norway rat). RNAcentral describes it as "long non-coding RNA NONRATT023028". The record is from RNAcentral. Lineage: Eukaryota; Metazoa; Chordata; Mammalia; Rodentia; Muridae.